RNAcentral lists this ribosomal RNA (279 nucleotides) under uncultured bacterium. Its description in RNAcentral is "partial 16S ribosomal RNA". It matches the Rfam family "Bacterial small subunit ribosomal RNA", at positions 506 to 784 of the family's 1533-position model. The record is from RNAcentral.
UGCCAGCCGCCGCGGUAAUACAGAGGGUGCAAGCGUUAAUCGGAAUUACUGGGCGUAAAGAGCACGUAGGUGGUUGCUUAAGUUAGAUGUGAAAGCCCUGGGCUCAACCUAGGAACUGCAUUUAAGACUGGGCAACUAGAGUAUGGUAGAGGAAAGCGGAAUUUCCGGUGUAGCGGUGAAAUGCGUAGAUAUCGGAAGGAACACCAGUGGCGAAGGCGGCUUUCUGGACUAAUACUGACACUGAGGUGCGAAAGCGUGGGGAGCGAACAGGAUUAGAUA